This 517-nucleotide ribosomal RNA is filed under the name uncultured bacterium. Its description in RNAcentral is "bacterial SSU rRNA". It matches the Rfam family "Bacterial small subunit ribosomal RNA", at positions 28 to 536 of the family's 1533-position model. The record is from RNAcentral.
GAUGAACGCUAGCGAUAGGCCUAACACAUGCAAGUCGAGGGGCAUCACAUGAAGUAGCAAUACGGAUGGUGGCGACCGGCGCACGGGUGAGUAACACGUAUGCAACCUGCCUUCAACAAGGGGAUAACCCGUUGAAAGACGGACUAAUACCCUAUAACACAGGGGUCCCGCAUGGGGAUAUUUGUUAAAGGACAACCGGUUGAAGAUGGGCAUGCGUUCCAUUAGCUAGUUGGCGGGGUAAGGGCCCACCAAGGCAACGAUGGAUAGGGGAACUGAGAGGUUUAUCCCCCACACUGGUACUGAGACACGGACCAGACUCCUACGGGAGGCAGCAGUGAGGAAUAUUGGUCAAUGGACGCAAGUCUGAACCAGCCACGUCGCGUGAAGGAAGACGGCCCUACGGGUUGUAAACUUCUUUUGUAAGGGAAUAAAGUGCCCCACGCGUGGGGUUUUGCAAGUACCGUACGAAUAAGGAUCGGCUAACUCCGUGCCAGCAGCCGCGGUAAGUACUGACUCA